Molecule: ribosomal RNA, 401 nt
Filed under: Rhizobium sp. R-46284
Lineage: Bacteria; Pseudomonadati; Pseudomonadota; Alphaproteobacteria; Hyphomicrobiales; Rhizobiaceae
Description: bacterial SSU rRNA
Rfam family: Bacterial small subunit ribosomal RNA
Source: RNAcentral
GCUCAGAACGAACGCUGGCGGCAGGCUUAACACAUGCAAGUCGAGCGCCCCGCAAGGGGAGCGGCAGACGGGUGAGUAACGCGUGGGAAUCUACCCUUGACUACGGAAUAACGCAGGGAAACUUGUGCUAAUACCGUAUGUGUCCUUCGGGAGAAAGAUUUAUCGGUCAAGGAUGAGCCCGCGUUGGAUUAGCUAGUUGGUGGGGUAAAGGCCUACCAAGGCGACGAUCCAUAGCUGGUCUGAGAGGAUGAUCAGCCACAUUGGGACUGAGACACGGCCCAAACUCCUACGGGAGGCAGCWGUGGGGAAUAUUGGACKAAUGGGCGCAAGCCUGAUCCAGCCAUGCCGCGUGAGUGAUGAAGGCCCUAGGGUUGUAAAGCUCUUUCACCGGAGAAGAUAAU